Molecule: ribosomal RNA, 717 nt
Filed under: uncultured bacterium
Lineage: Bacteria
Description: bacterial SSU rRNA
Rfam family: Bacterial small subunit ribosomal RNA
Source: RNAcentral
ACGGCAGCACGGGUGCUUGCACCUGGUGGCGAGUGGCGAACGGGUGAGUAAUGUAUCGGAACGUAUCCGGAAGUGGGGGAUAGCCCGGCGAAAGCCGGAUUAAUACCGCAUAUGCCCUGAGGGGGAAAGUGGGGGACCGCAAGGCCUCAUGCUUUCGGAGUGGCCGAUAUCGGAUUAGCUAGUAGGUUAGGUAAAGGCUGACCUAGGCGACGAUCCGUAGCGGGUCUGAGAGGAUGAUCCGCCACACUGGGACUGAGACACGGCCCAGACUCCUACGGGAGGCAGCAGUGGGGAAUUUUGGACAAUGGGGGCAACCCUGAUCCAGCCAUGCCGCGUGAGUGAAGAAGGCCUUCGGGUUGCAAAGCUCUUUCGGACGGAAAGAAAUUGCCAUCUCUAACAUAGGUGGUGGAUGACGGUACCGUAAGAAGAAGCACCGGCUAACUACGUGCCAGCAGCCGCGGUAAUACGUAGGGUGCGAGCGUUAAUCGGAAUUACUGGGCGUAAAGCGUGCGCAGGCGGUUUUGUAAGACAGGCGUGAAAUCCCCGGGCUUAACCUGGGAACUGCGCUUGUGACUGCAAGGCUAGAGUGCGGCAGAGGGGGGUAGAAUUCCACGUGUAGCAGUGAAAUGCGUAGAGAUGUGGAGGAAUACCGAUGGCGAAUGCAGCCCCUCUGGGUCGACACUGACGCUCAUGCACGAAAGCGUGGGGAGCAAACAG